This is a non-coding RNA of Callithrix jacchus (white-tufted-ear marmoset), 148 nucleotides long. The record is from Rfam. Lineage: Eukaryota; Metazoa; Chordata; Mammalia; Primates; Cebidae.
GCCGGGUGUGGUGGUGCACGCCUGUAGUCCCAGCUACUGGGGAGGCUGAAACAGGAGAAUUGCUUGAACCUAGGAGGCAGAGGUUGCAGUGAGCUGAGAUUGUGCCACUGCAUUCCAGCCUGGGUGACAGAGUGAGACUCUGUCUCAA